AAAAGCUUAGGUUAAAACUAAACCAGGGGCCUUCAAAGCCCCAAAUAAGGACUAACCCCCUUAGCUUUUG
RNAcentral lists this transfer RNA (70 nucleotides) under Heremites auratus (Golden grass mabuya). RNAcentral's name for it is "tRNA-Trp". The record is from RNAcentral. Lineage: Eukaryota; Metazoa; Chordata; Lepidosauria; Squamata; Scincidae.